This 223-nucleotide ribosomal RNA is filed under the name uncultured bacterium. RNAcentral's name for it is "partial 16S ribosomal RNA". It matches the Rfam family "Bacterial small subunit ribosomal RNA", at positions 128 to 334 of the family's 1533-position model. The record is from RNAcentral.
CCCUUCGGGCGGGGGAGUAACCUUCCGAAAGGAGGGCUAAUACCGCAUAGGACCACGGCCGAUUCGUCGGCUGAGGUCAAAGCAGGCCUCUUCAUGAAAGCUUGCACCUGAGGAUGAGUCCGCGGCCCAUCAGCUAGUUGGUAGUGUAAAGGACUACCAAGGCAAAGACGGGUAGCUGGUCUGAGAGGAUGAUCAGCCACACUGGAACUGAGACACGGUCCAG